UACGGGGGGGGCAAGCGUUGUUCGGAAUUACUGGGCGUAAAGGGCGUGUAGGCGGCCAACUAAGUCCGACGUGAAAUCCCCAGGCUUAACCUGGGAACUGCGUCGGAUACUGGAUGGCUUGAAUCCGGGAGAGGGAUGCAGAAUUCCAGGUGUAGCGGUGAAAUGCGUAGAUAUCUGGAGGAAUACCGGUGGCGAAGGCGGCAUCCUGGACAAUUGCUGACGCUCAGGCACGAAAGCGUGGGGAGCAAAAGGG
This 253-nucleotide ribosomal RNA is filed under the name uncultured bacterium. RNAcentral describes it as "partial 16S ribosomal RNA". It matches the Rfam family "Bacterial small subunit ribosomal RNA", at positions 524 to 776 of the family's 1533-position model. The record is from RNAcentral.